CCGGACUAGAGCCAGGGCCUUGUGGGCAGGUGCGGAAAACCCUAAACGGAUGAGUCAUAUGAUUCCCCUUUACCGUUUGUCAUUGUACAAUCAGCCACUGGGUGCUGCUGCACAGUCGGACGUUUCCAGGGCUUUGCUGUUAUAAAUGCUACUGUUUUACAAAGUUAAUCCUUCUGGCAGACCACAAGGCACUCUAUUUUAUGGAAUGGCUACAGAAUGGAGACUUCAGCUCAGCUACGCUUCGUGAAGACAAACACACCGAAAAUACAGCAUUGCACGCCCAGGGCUGAUAAAAAUCUGUUCUGAGUAAAUCGGGAGCUCCAAUCUCAUGUCAACUCUUAGGUUGGUUAUUCUACUAAAAGGAAAUAAAAUGUCAUUUGUUGGAUUCUUAUUUGGCUCC
Molecule: long non-coding RNA, 400 nt
Filed under: Ursus maritimus (polar bear)
Lineage: Eukaryota; Metazoa; Chordata; Mammalia; Carnivora; Ursidae
Description: lncRNA (ENSUMAG00000001913.1)
Source: RNAcentral